RNA transcript from Abrus precatorius (Indian licorice), 4060 nucleotides. It is a transcript of the gene named protein FAM91A1-like, with no coding region annotated. The record is from RefSeq and is a predicted model, not a curated record. NCBI's taxonomy places the organism in Eukaryota, Viridiplantae, Streptophyta, Magnoliopsida, Fabales, Fabaceae. The transcript has 12 exons.
UUGUCCGAAACGGGUAGGAGAAAUAAACCAACGGAAUUGAUGCCACCACCGCCAUAACGGAAACCACUAUCUUUCACAAUUCUCACUUUCCGCCAAAUCUCUCUCUCUCUGUCUAGUGCUUAACCUUCCGAAGAAGCACGAACACAACAUUGUCUGUGAAUUCCGAUUCCGAAACCCUAGCUGAACGAACUCGACCCAAACGAAUGAGGAUCUGAUCAGUGGAUUCACAGCUGAGGAUUUUCUUUGGCUUUCUCAGUAAACGAAGUGGCUGUUCAGGUGUUUGGUGAGUGAGAAAUGCAGCGUGCUCCGGUGACAGUUGAGGAUCAGUUGUUGCAAAAAGCGAUUAAGGAAGAGUGUUCGUGGGAGAACCUUCCCAAGCGGAUUCAAACAACACUUUCUACCAAAGAAGAAUGGCACAGAAGGAUAAUUGAAAGUUGCAUAAAGAAGAGACUCCAAUGGAAUAGUUGUUUUGCUCGUAAAGUUUGUAAGGAAAGUGAAUAUUAUGAAGAGAUGAUGCGUUACUUGCGGAAGAAUCUUGCUCUAUUUCCUUAUCAUCUGGCAGAGUAUGUUUGCCGUGUGAUGAGAGUAUCGCCUUUUAGAUACUAUUGUGAUAUGAUCUUUGAAGUAAUGAGAAAUGAGCAACCUUAUGACAGCAUCCCAAACUUUAGUGCAGCAGAUGCUCUAAGACUUACAGGAAUUGGGAGAAAUGAAUUUAUUGAUAUAAUGAACAAGUGCAGAUCUAAGAAAAUCAUGUGGAAACUGAACAAGUCAAUUGCUAAAGAACUUUUACCCACACAACCUGUGGAUUUUCCUAUUGAACCUUGGUGGGGAGUUUGUCUGGUGAACUUUACUUUGGAAGAAUUUAAGAAACUUUCAGAAGAAGAAAUGGCCACAAUAGAUAGAGUAUGUAAGGAGGAGGCAAAUUCAUUUAUCCUGUUUGAUCCUGAUGUUGUGAAGGGUCUUUAUAGACGGGGAUUGAUCUAUUUUGAUGUUCCUGUAUUUCCUGAGGAUCGGUUUAAAGUUUCUAGGCUCGAAGGUUUUGUUUCCAACAGAGAGCAGUCUUAUGAAGACCCUAUUGAAGAGUUAUUGUAUGCAGUUUUUGUUGUUUCAAAUGAAAAUGCAUCUGUUGCUGAAUUGGCAGCAACUCUACAGGCUGAGUUGUCACAACUGCAGGCUGCUGCAUCUUUCGCAUGUCGAUUGGGAUGGGCAACAAAAGUAAUUGAUCCAGCAUCUAUUCUUCAAGAUACAAACAUACCUGGGUCUCCAAGAAGUGCAGUGAGCGACGAAGAUGGUUCCAUUGCUAGUCGUGGUUUUGACAGUAUGCCUGUUGAUAAUGAUUCUAAUCAAGGCGAUGCUUCAAGUUCAGGGAACUAUGGCCUUCGUUCUGCCUAUACUCGUGUUGCUUUCGUAGUUGAUGCUAAUAUAACAUCAUAUCUUAUGAUGGGUUCUGUUUCACCAGGCUUGAAAUCUCAUGCUGUUACACUCUAUGAAGCGGGGAAAUUGGGUCAUGCCAGCAUUUCUGAUCUUUGCAAGGAUCUUAGCACUCUGGAAGGUGCCAAAUUUGAGGGAGAACUGCAGGAAUUUGCAAAUCAUGCAUUUAGCCUGCGUUGUGUAUUAGAAUGUUUACAGUCUGGUGGAGUUGCUUCCAAUGCAAAAGUGGAUGAAGGUUCUGAUAAGAUACACAUGACUAUUGCAAGCAAUGAUGAGUCCAGUUCUCUAAUAGCUGAAAUCUCUUUGACUGACAAAUCAGGAGACCCUGGUAUUGCAGAAGCUGGAAUGAAUAAUUAUGAUUUAUUAAAUUCAGAUUUAGAGAAGUCUGUAGCUGCUUCUGCUUCCUCUGAGGCUGUUCAUAAUGAUAUUGUGGGUGGAACCUGUUCUAUUCCUUUGGAAGGUGAUGGUAGUAACAUACAGAAAUUUAAUGAAGACGGGAAUCUCCAGACUGAUGAGCAACUAAUGGUUGAAGGUUCAGAUGUUGGAACAGACAUGUUGAAGAGAAUAAAGAAAUAUCGUGUUGACAUUCUCCGCUGUGAAAGCUUGGCUUCUCUUGCACCAGCAACUCUUGAUCGUUUGUUUGUUCGCGAUUAUGAUAUAAUUGUGUCUAUAGUGCCUCUUCCUCAUUCAUCAGUUCUUCCUGGACCCACAGGUCUGGUACAUUUUGGUCCCCCCUCAUAUACUUUUAUGACUCCUUGGAUGAAAUUGGUAUUAUAUUCAACUGUAGCUAGUGGGCCUCUAUCAGUUGUUCUGAUGAAAGGACAGUGUCUGCGCUUGCUUCCUGCUCCAUUGGCUGGUUGUGAGAAAGCUCUCAUAUGGUCUUGGGAUGGUGCUGCAGUAGGAGGGUUGGGAGGGAAGCUUGAAGGAAAUUUAGUGAAGGGAAGUAUACUCUUGCAUUGUUUAAAUUCACUUCUUAAACAUUCAGCCGUGCUGGUGCAGCCUCUCAGUAGGUUUGACCUUGACGAAUCUGGAAAGGUGAUUACAAUGGAUAUCCCUUUGCCCUUAAAGAACUCUGAUGGAUCAAUUAUCUCUGUUGGAAAAGAAUUAGGAAUAUGUGAAGAGGAAAGUUCAAAGCUGAAUUCUCUCUUGACUGAUUUGGCAAACAAGAUGGAACUGUGGACAGUUGGGUAUAUUCGCCUACUGAAAUUAUAUAAUGGAAGGGAAUCAGAUCAGUUCUCACCUAAAGAAGAGAAAUAUGAAUGGGUUCCAUUGAGUGUUGAAUUUGGGAUGCCCCUGUUCAGUCCAAAGUUGUGUAAUAAUAUAUGUGAAAGGGUGAUUUCAUCUGAAUUACUUCAAUCUCAGUCAUUUGAAGAACACCAUCAUGCAAUGCAAAGCUUAAGGAAAAAUUUGCGUGACAUUUGUACUGAGUACCAAGCAUUAGGUCCUGCUGCAAAGGUUCUUUACCAAAAGGAGUCAGCUAAAGAAUCCCCACGAAAACUUAUGAAUUAUGCUAGUGGGAAGUGGAAUCCACUUAUAGAUCCUUCUUCUCCCAUUUCAGGGGCAUCAAGUGAGUAUCAAAGGUUAAAACUUGCUCAUCGACACCGCUGCGGAACUGAAGUUUUAAGCUUUGAUGGCAGCAUUCUUAGAUAAGUUUUCCAGUGACCUCAAACCUUUCAGAUCUAGUCUGGCAAUCCCUGGGAUCAUAACUGCUUACUCUUGAGUCUUGACACCAAACUUGAAGUUGUGCUGCUGUCAUCUUAUACAUGCACUACCAUGCAUCACCAGCUUCACACUUCUAAAAACUUGCAACCCUGCAUGAGAGAUCCCGAGCACUUUUGCUACUUAUCCUGGUCACUUCAAGGGUGUUUCAGAUCAUGGGUCCUGCAAUUUUGACAUGCAUUGCAUGUAUUAUCAACACAGACCUGCCCCCUCCUUUCAACAUGCUCCAAAUAUUUCUGUUAUUUUUGGCAACAAAUUUGGUGGUUUAAUCACACUAAUUCUCAGAAACAUCGCUUUUGGAUGGUCAUACAGAUCUUAUGUCUUAACUCCUGUUUACGAAGCUGAAGUCACUCAAGCCAACGCAAUUAAACCUGAACCAGAUGAAAUUGAUAGUAAAGAAGUAAUCCAUCCUGGAGUAAAUCUUCUUUUUGAUGGUUCUGAGUUGCACCCAUUUGAUAUAGGUGCCUGCCUGCAGGCACGUCAACCUAUUUCCUUAAUAGCAGAAGCAGCAGCUGCCUCAGCAUCGUUAACCAUCAAAUAGUUCUGCAGUUAAUACUGAUUACACCACUUUCAUGUGCAUGAAUUGAAAUGCUAGCGAGUCACGUGCCAAUGCUAUUGCUACUGUUUGGUUUGUUACCAUCCUCGAGAUUGUUGGUUGCACAAAGUUGGAUUCUGGUUGAAGGUAACUUUCAUCCUUUUGCUGGUCUGUAUUUUACAAGUUGUGACGUUGUUUCAGUUGUUAAAAGCUACUCCCAAUGCUGAACCUCUAAAGUAUUCUUUUUACUCUCAGCAGCUUUUAGGCUUACUGACUCUAAUUUUUAAUUUGAAACAAGGAUGUGGAUAAAAUGAUGCCCAAACAGAUUUGUGGAACUUGCAGAUAGAAUCUCUUUUAAUUUUCUCUGCGUUUUUU